UACGGAGGAUCCAAGCGUUGUCCGGAUUUAUUGGGUUUAAAGGGUGCGUAGGCGGAUGAUUAAGUCAGUGGUGAAAGCCGGCAGCUCAACUGUCGAACUGUCAUUGAAACUGAUCGUCUUGAAUAUAGUAGAGUUAGGCGGAAUGUAUCAUGUAGCGGUGAAAUGCUUAGAUAUGAUACAGAACACCAAUUGCGAAAGCAGCUUGCUAUGCUAUUAUUGACGCUGAGGCACGAAAGCGUGGGGAUCAAACAGG
RNAcentral lists this ribosomal RNA (253 nucleotides) under uncultured bacterium. Its description in RNAcentral is "partial 16S ribosomal RNA". It matches the Rfam family "Bacterial small subunit ribosomal RNA", at positions 524 to 776 of the family's 1533-position model. The record is from RNAcentral.